Molecule: long non-coding RNA, 594 nt
Organism: Pan paniscus (pygmy chimpanzee)
Lineage: Eukaryota; Metazoa; Chordata; Mammalia; Primates; Hominidae
Source: Ensembl
AUGUAUACUUCCCUUAAAUCCACCUUCGUAGCAUUUGCUGAUGAUAUGAGAUUGGGGCCCUCAUUCAUACUAACUGGAAUUUUCCUUGGCAAUGGUAGAACAGAAGCUUCUCCAUUCUUUAGAGAUGAAUUUGCUUUAAGUAAGAUCUUCCCAGAGUACAAAAGAAAUUUAUUCGGAAAAUUUCAAACUAAUAUGGCCUUGUCACUGGAACUGGAUCCACCAUCCUUUUUUCUCAGUGUCGUCUUGUUUAUGUUUUAGAUCUUUUGCAAGGUGAGCUACACCUCUGAGAGGAGCUCCUGGAAAUUACCAGAGAUACUUAAUGUUGCCAGCUGUUACAGAUGGAGAUGAUGCACCCUGAUGAUGAAUAAGUACUGAGCCUGAAUCCUACAAAUGGGAAAAGGUGCUCAUAUCAGACUUAUGCAUUAGAUAUCAAACUACAAAAUACAAGUGCAGUUGAUACCUGUUUAGAUGAUGUAGAGCAAGGUAACAGAGUAUGUAUUAAAAGCAAAAAUUCCCAUGAAGCUGAACCGUUACUCUCUGCCAAAACCUCCCACUCUCAAGUUUUAAGAGCCAAUAAACCUUGUAUCUGUACGU